AACGAACGCUGGCGGCAUGCCUAACACAUGCAAGUCGAACGAGACCUUCGGGUCUAGUGGCGCACGGGUGCGUAACGCGUGGGAACCUGCCCUUAGGUUCGGAAUAACUCCCCGAAAGGGGUGCUAAUACCGGAUAAUGUCUUCGGACCAAAGAUUUAUCUCCUUUGGAUGGGCCCGCGUUGGAUUAGCUAGUUGGUAGGGUAAAAGCCUACCAAGGCGACGAUCCAUAGCUGGUCUGAGAGGAUGAUCAGCCACACUGGGACUGAGACACGGCCCAGACUCCUACGGGAGGCAGCAGUGGGGAAUAUUGGACAAUGGGCGAAAGCCUGAUCCAUCAAUGCCGCGUGAGUGAUGAAGGCCUUAGGGUUGUAAAGCUCUUUUACCCGGGAUGAUAAUGACAGUACCGGGAGAAUAAGCUCCGGCUAACUCCGUG
RNAcentral lists this ribosomal RNA (433 nucleotides) under uncultured bacterium. RNAcentral describes it as "partial 16S ribosomal RNA". It matches the Rfam family "Bacterial small subunit ribosomal RNA", at positions 29 to 507 of the family's 1533-position model. The record is from RNAcentral.